GAUGAACGCUGGCGGCAUGCCUUACACAUGCAAGUCGAACGGCAGCACGGGAGCUUGCUCCUGGUGGCGAGUGGCGAACGGGUGAGUAAUGCAUCGGAACGUACCCGGAAGUGGGGGAUAACGUAGCGAAAGUUACGCUAAUACCGCAUAUUCUGUGAGCAGGAAAGAGGGGGAUCGCAAGACCUCUCGCUUUCGGAGCGGCCGAUGUCGGAUUAGCUGGUUGGUGGGGUAAAGGCCUACCAAGGCGACGAUCCGUAGCGGGUCUGAGAGGAUGAUCCGCCACACUGGAACUGAGACACGGUCCAGACUCCUACGGGAGGCAGCAGUGGGGAAUGUUGGACAGUGGGCGAAAGCCUGAUCCAGCCAUGCCGCGUGAGUGAAGAAGGCCUUCGGGUUGUAAAGCUCUUUCGGCUGAAAAGAAAUCGCACAGGCUAAUACCCUGUGUGGAUGACGGUAUCAGCAUAAGAAGCACCGGCUAACUACGUGCCAGCAGCCGCCGUAA
Molecule: ribosomal RNA, 502 nt
Filed under: uncultured bacterium
Lineage: Bacteria
Description: partial 16S ribosomal RNA
Rfam family: Bacterial small subunit ribosomal RNA
Source: RNAcentral